UGGGUCGGCCGGACGGCCGCGUGGCGCGUGAGCGCACCGAGGAACGUCCGGGCUCCACAGGGCAGGGCGGUGGGUAACACCCACCCGGAGUGAUCCGCGAGACAGUGCCACAGAGAGAAGACCGCCCGUUCGACCCGGAAGGGCCGGAUGGGUAAGGGUGAAAGGGUGGUGUAAGAGACCACCGGGGAGCGCGGUGACGCGCUCCGCCAGGUAAACCUCGCCCGGAGCAAGACCAGACAGAGGACGUUGACGCGGCUCGCCGAGUCCUCGGGUAGGUCGCUGGAACGACACGGCAACGUGUCGUCGAGAGAGAUGGCCGUCAAGGGAGCGAAGAACUCCUGAACAGAACCCGGCGUACAGGCCGGCCCACUCG
Molecule: RNase P RNA, 373 nt
Filed under: Microbacterium sp. nov. GSS16
Lineage: Bacteria; Bacillati; Actinomycetota; Actinomycetes; Micrococcales; Microbacteriaceae
Description: RNase P RNA component class A
Rfam family: Bacterial RNase P class A
About the family: Ribonuclease P (RNase P) is a ubiquitous endoribonuclease, found in archaea, bacteria and eukarya as well as chloroplasts and mitochondria. Its best characterised activity is the generation of mature 5'-ends of tRNAs by cleaving the 5'-leader elements of precursor-tRNAs. Cellular RNase Ps are ribonucleoproteins.
Source: RNAcentral